AAAAAAAUGAGCUCUCUGAGAGCCAACUCUAAAAUAUCAAAAUACUACAAGCCCAUAGGGUUGACAAAAGCAUAGCAUGAACAUAACAUGACCAGUUAAUAACAAACGAAACAUAUAUAACAUCCUAGAUGUGUGUGUGUUAAACCCAAAAUAAAUCUGGCCACACGGCCAAUUCGAGCUCAAAUAGAACACUGACCAUUUGAAGCUUUGAGCUUCAGCCCAAACAUAUGAAGGGGUAAAUGUCUCUAGGAGAGUUCCCAUUUGAAGUAUGCAGCUACUGGUAGCCUUGGAGUCAAGUACGUUUUAUUGUAUAUUUCAUUUGGAAAGUGACCUGAAAGUUGGCAAUAGAUGGGUUAAGUACACUGUGGUCCUUAACGCCUUUCACUCUAUCCACAGAACUAAAGUAAGGACUUCACCUUUGAAUUAAAUUAAGAGCUCCACCAUAGAACUAAAUUAAGGGUUCCAGCCUAGAAUUGAAGCAAGGGCUUUCCCCCACAGAACUAAAGUAAAGGGCUCC
Biomphalaria pfeifferi is the source of this 517-nucleotide non-coding RNA. The record is from the annotation of a GenBank genome assembly. Lineage: Eukaryota; Metazoa; Mollusca; Gastropoda; Planorbidae.